CUGGAUGGGAGGCAGGGGGGAAGCAGCAGGCAGGGGCCUUCAGGCAAGAACUGCAGGGCAGGCGAGUUGCAUGCAAAGAGCUGAGGAGCAGGAGUGGGCUAUAGGUAGGAGACCUGCCUGCUGGGAAUGCAUGAUCAGGGCAUGGUUUUUGGGUGGUUGUUUUUUUAUGAUGGAAAAUUAGGGUUUCCCUUUCAAGGGAUUGUUUUCUCCCCUUCAAAAAGUAUGUAGUGAUAGAAGGCACAGGUUGUUUGUUAUUAAGCUAGCCCCAAGCAGGUGUGUUAGAUUUUCUCAAAACUAGUUUCUCGAUUAUUUCUAGGUGUUUCAAAGGGGAAACUGAGGAAGGGCUGCUAUAGCGCCAACUUUCAGAGCAGCAGCUGUGUUAGUCUGUAUUCGCAAAAAGAACAGGAGGACUUGUGGCACCUUAGAGACGAACAAAUUUAUUUGAGCAUGAGCUUUCGUGAGCUACAGCUCACUUCAUCUGAUGCAUUCAGUGGAAAAUACAGUGGGGAGAUUUAUAUACAUAGUGAACAUGAAACAAUGGGUGUUACCAUACACACUGUAAGGAGAGUCAUCACUUAAGAGUUUCCAGCCCACCUCUGUACUUUAUCACACUGAAAUCUGCAGCAUCUCUAGCAUGGAAUUGUAUAUUGAGCGUGGAGUGAGUGCAAAUGGCCAAUGAGUUGGGCAGACUCUGUGGGAGGAGGUAUUGUUUCAUAUUCUCUGUGUGUAUAUAAAGUCUGCUGCAGUUUCCACGGUAAACAUCUGAUGAAGUGAGCUGUAGCUCACGAAAGCUCAUGCUCAAAUAAAUUGGUUAGUCUCUAAGGUGCCACAAGUACUCCUUUUCUUUCUGUGAAUCAAGAGUCGCAUCUGAGUUACAAUGGCGUAAAACUGGGAGGCUCUGAGGGCUGGUUCCAGGCCCACCCUUCUGCUGAAGAUAAGAAAACAACUGGCCUCCUUCAUAACAGUCCUAACAGAGAGACAAGAAAUGAAGAGGCUACGGAGAUGAGCUCAUCUCUCAGCCCUUGAGGUAGCACUUUCUUUCAAAUGCUUGGAUGGCUCAGGAAAACGAAAAUGGAUUUUUACCAAAUUUUCCUCCCACAAAAUAUACAUUUUCAGGUUGAAAAAAGGAAUGCUAAUUUGUAGGAUUAAUUAUUAUAUACUAAUUAGUAUUGUUAUCAUUAUUCCUAAUAAUAAUAUGUCUUUACUGAUUUAAAAACAAAGAUACAAACUUAAGCAUUAAAUAGCAACUACAUGACAAGAAAAUCCUCUCACCACUCUACACCUCCUUACCAAUCCCAUCUUCCUUUCCCUAUCACAUCUGAAUCAUGAGAAAUUCAACACAGAUCUAUGUACCUAUCUCAAGGAAAAACCAAUGGUUCUUCUCAUAGCUCUGGACAGGAUAUAUUUCCCAGCAGUGAUUAAUGCAGCCACUUUAAAGCUUCUCUGCCACUUAGUGGUUACAAAAAGCAUUACUUUCUUUCUCGGCACUGUGCUGAGAUCGGCUCUGUUUGCAUACAGAGUUUGUACAGGGAUGAUGGUAAUCUCAGUUCUAGUCAGGAGCAGAGCUGUGUCACUCUUUCCAAGAAAUAUUUAAUGUAAGAAUUCCCCCCGCAUAAUUCUGACAAAAUGCUGAUGCCCCGAUGGCUCUUUGAAGGGAAUAAAUCCCCAUCUGUCGAAAUAUUUACCCCCGGGUUAAACUAAAAAUGUCUAAAUCCAGUUGACAACAUUCCAUUUCACAGUGCAGAUACUUGGGACAGAUGUUCACAUUUGAAUGGAAAAGAGAAGCUUAGCCUGUGGCUUCUAUUCCUGGAUGAAACUGACUCUGUGUGAGCCGUGGCAAGUCACUCCAGCUCUCGGAGCCUUAGUUUUCCCCUUGCAAGUGGGGAUAACAACACCUGCCUAUGUCACAAGUUGGUCAUGUAGGCCAAAAUUCUCAACAUUGAGCACCUACAUCCAUGUUAAGGCGAUGGACAGGGACCCAGGCCACCUGGGUUCUAUUCCUGGUUCUGCCGCUGAUCUUCUG
This is a long non-coding RNA of Caretta caretta (loggerhead turtle), 2023 nucleotides long. RefSeq lists it as uncharacterized. Lineage: Eukaryota; Metazoa; Chordata; Testudines; Cheloniidae. The record is from RefSeq and is a predicted model, not a curated record.